RNAcentral lists this ribosomal RNA (403 nucleotides) under Verrucomicrobiota bacterium. RNAcentral's name for it is "Verrucomicrobia bacterium partial 16S ribosomal RNA". It matches the Rfam family "Bacterial small subunit ribosomal RNA", at positions 355 to 776 of the family's 1533-position model. The record is from RNAcentral. Lineage: Bacteria; Pseudomonadati; Verrucomicrobiota.
UGGGGAAUAUUGCACAAUGGGCGCAAGCCUGAUGCAGCAACGCCGCGUGAACGAUGAAGGUUUUCGGAUCGUAAUGCUCUGUUGCAGGGGAAGAUAAUGACGGUACCCUGUGAGGAAGCCCCGGCUAACUACGUGCCAGCAGCCGCGGUAAUACGUAGGGGGCUAGCGUUAUCCGGAUUUACUGGGCGUAAAGGGUGCGUAGGUGGUCUUUCAAGUCGGUGGUUAAAGGCUACGGCUCAACCGUAGUUAGCCUCCGAAACUGGAAGACUUGAGUGCAGGAGAGGAAAGUGGAAUUCCCAGUGUAGCGGUGAAAUGCGUAGAUAUUGGGAGGAACACCAGUAGCGAAGGCGGCUUUCAGGACUGCAACAGACACUGAGGCACGAAAGCGUGGGUAGCAAACAGG